Molecule: transfer RNA, 60 nt
Filed under: Bemisia tabaci
Lineage: Eukaryota; Metazoa; Arthropoda; Insecta; Hemiptera; Aleyrodidae
Also listed under: 1 other name
Description: tRNA-Ser
Source: RNAcentral
AAAUCUUCAAAUAAACGUAGCUUCUAACUAUGAAAAAGUAACCACCGUUACUAAGAUUUU